Molecule: ribosomal RNA, 253 nt
Filed under: uncultured bacterium
Lineage: Bacteria
Description: partial 16S ribosomal RNA
Rfam family: Bacterial small subunit ribosomal RNA
Source: RNAcentral
UACGGAAUGUGCAAACGUUAUUCGGAAUCACUGGGCUUAAAGAGUCCGUAGGCGGCAUGUUAGGUGAGGUGUGAAAUCCCCCGGCUCAACCGAGGAAUUGCGCUUCAAACCGGCGUGCUUGAGGAAGAUAGAGGUGGGCGGAACUGAUGGUGGAGCGGUGAAAUGCGUAGAUAUCAGGAGGAACACCGGUGGCGAAGGCGCACAUCUGGCCCGAUACUGACGCUGAGGCGCGAAAGCUAGGGGAGCAAACGGG